RNAcentral lists this ribosomal RNA (468 nucleotides) under uncultured bacterium. Its description in RNAcentral is "partial 16S ribosomal RNA". It matches the Rfam family "Bacterial small subunit ribosomal RNA", at positions 28 to 507 of the family's 1533-position model. The record is from RNAcentral.
GACGAACGCUGGCGGCGUGCUUAACACAUGCAAGUCGAACGGAAAGGCCCUGCUUUUGUGGGGUGCUCGAGUGGCGAACGGGUGAGUAACACGUGAGUAACCUGCCCUUGACUUUGGGAUAACUUCAGGAAACUGGGGCUAAUACCGGAUAGGAGCUCCUGCUGCAUGGUGGGGGUUGGAGAGUUUCGGCGGUUGGGGAUGGACUCGCGGCUUAUCAGCUUGUUGGUGGGGUAGUGGCUUACCAAGGCGUUGACGGGUAGCCGACCUGAGAGGGUGACCGGCCACAUUGGGACUGAGAUACGGCCCAGACUCCUACGGGAGGCAGCAGUGGGGAAUAUUGCACAAUGGGCGGAAGCCUGAUGCAGCAACGCCGCGUGCGGGAUGACGGCCUUCGGGUUGUAAACCGCUUUCGCCUGUGACGAAGCGUGAGUGACGGUAAUGGGUAAAGAAGCACCGGCUAACUACGUG